AGGUGAUCGGACGACAUAUGCUGAGGUGAAAGUGAAAUGGAAAUCUGAUACAUCUGACAGUACACACAAGACUACACAUAAAGGAAAAUUCACUAAGGAGGAUGUUCCUCUAAUGUAGCCAGAGCUCUUCCUCUCUCCUGUCUGCCCUGGGGGCUUCUUUCAAGAGAGCAAUAAUGCCAGAAAAGGCGGUGAUACUGCUGGUUUUGCUUAUGACUUCCCUGAUAUAAACACAAGGGGGAUCUGGUGGAUUUGAAUCUGGAAAACUAAGUGGGGAACUUAAUGGAGACCCAAGAGGGGACCGUACUAUACAAACAAACAUAAAAUUGGGCUGGGAUCCCAGGGGGCAACCACAUAGUGCAUUCGGCAUCUCUGAAGAAAAUAGAUGAAGUGAAUCUAAUACCAAUAUGUGAAUUCUUGGCAUGUUGCUCUUCUCCAAAAAAAUCACAGCCUGACCAUUUCUACUCUUGAUAGCUGCGCUCCUUAUAUUAAAUGGAGCUGCUCUGGAAGGCACUUUAUUGCUUUGAACCUUUUCAGUAGUGCAGAAAGACAGUAAGAGUUGGAAUCUGCUUCUACCUGAAACAAAUUGGAUGGGUCCGCUGAGAGGCAACGUACAAUUAUUAAAGCUGUAUCCCAAGAUUGUCCAUGGUACUGAGCAUGCUCCAAAGUAAGUUCUAUAUGUGAAUGAUGUAACAGCCAGAACACACAUUAAAAGUCAGUAGGAAAUUAAAGCAUUUACUGAGGCCUUCCAUUUUUGAGAGAGCACACAUCUAAUUCUUCUCCAACCUCUUUCACUUCCUGGCAUGAAAAGUACCAAAAAAUAGAUAAUUAAUUUUACAAUUUAAGAAUGAAGCAAUGCUGUUACCAGGAAUCUCACAGGAGUUCCUGAACACUUUGUAUUUCUGAACAUGACUAAUGGCGGACUAAAUCUUUCGGAAAUGUUUGUCCUCAAAGUCCAUUUCAGAGCCUUAUAUAUCUGA
Struthio camelus australis is the source of this 977-nucleotide non-coding RNA. The record is from RefSeq and is a predicted model, not a curated record. Lineage: Eukaryota; Metazoa; Chordata; Aves; Struthioniformes; Struthionidae.